This 433-nucleotide ribosomal RNA is filed under the name uncultured bacterium. RNAcentral describes it as "partial 16S ribosomal RNA". It matches the Rfam family "Bacterial small subunit ribosomal RNA", at positions 29 to 507 of the family's 1533-position model. The record is from RNAcentral.
AACGAACGCUGGCGGCAUGCCUAACACAUGCAAGUCGAACGAGACCUUCGGGGCUAGUGGCGCACGGGUGCGUAACGCGUGGGAACCUGCCUUUAGGUUCGGAAUAACUCAGGGAAAUUUUAGCUAAUACCGGAUGAUGUCUUCGGACCAAAGAUUUAUCGCCAUUAGAUGGGCCCGCGUUGGAUUACCUAGUUGGUGGGGUAAAGGCCUACCAAGGCGACGAUCCUUAGCUGGGCUGAGAGGAUGAGCAGCCACACUGGGAAUGAGCCACGGCCAAGACUCCUACGGGAGGCAGCAGUGGGGAAUAUUGGACAAUGGGCGGAAGGAUGAUCCAGCAAUGCGGGGUGAAUGAUGAAGGCCUUAGGGUUGUAAAGCUCUCUUACCCGAGAAGAUAAUGACAGUAUCGGGAGAAUAAGCACCGGCUAACUCCGUG